CACCCCAUGCGGUCACCAGCAGACAGCCGCUUUCUGCACAAGUUCCAAGAUGGACUCACAGCAGUCCCCGCCAGCCAUGACGCUGAGAUGGGUGUACACCCAGCUCUGGAGGAACCCAACCGCCUGUGGUCUCUCCACAACGGCUGCAAAAUACUAUUCUCCGCUGUAACCAACCUCCAGGUCACAGCCACAGGACUUCCCACGGACUUCCCCUGCUCUUAAAGCAAACUGCAGAACCAAGCGUGGACUUCUGCUCCUGAGGGGGACGGAAGGACAGUCCCCUGCGGUCAUCUCUAUAGGAGAUGGGGGCCAUGGGUGGGAGAGAAACUCCCUGUUGCACUUUGUAGCCCUCAGUAUGAUUAAAGUGUUUACCAUGUACAUAAAUUAUGCUUUUUAAGUUCACAUGUCUUAUAUACUUUUACGUUACUUUUUAAAAUUAAAAGACAGUUAACUUUUAAGAAUAAA
This is a long non-coding RNA of Homo sapiens (human), 465 nucleotides long. Ensembl annotates it as GRTP1 antisense RNA 1. Its record names the gene GRTP1-AS1. Lineage: Eukaryota; Metazoa; Chordata; Mammalia; Primates; Hominidae. The record is from Ensembl.